Molecule: long non-coding RNA, 1364 nt
Organism: Suricata suricatta (meerkat)
Lineage: Eukaryota; Metazoa; Chordata; Mammalia; Carnivora; Herpestidae
Exons: 2
Source: RefSeq, a predicted model, not a curated record
GCUCUGAACAUUUAAAUGUUUAAAUGAACAUUUAAAUGUUUAAAUGAACAUUUAAAAAAAAUUUAAAGAGUAGACCUUGGUGGCCGUAUUUAUACCCCUACUUCCAACCCCUACUUCCCCUGCUCUGAACAUUUAAAUGUUUAAAUGAACAUUUAAAUGUUUAAAUGAACAUUUAAAAAAAAUUUAAAGAGUAGACCUUGGUGGCCGUAUUUAUACCCCUACUUCCAACCCAUUCCAGUCAACAUGUACUGAGAGGAGUAUACAACUAACUUUGGAGAGGGGGGGGUCACAGCUCAUUGGGUGGGCAAAAAAUAAUCAUCCCUCUUUCUUGAAUUUGAACUAAAAGAUAAAUAGCAGAAAUGACUUAAUCUGAAGGCUUCACAUGUGAAUGACUGUUUCUAGCCUGGCCCAGUUAGCAGGCAGAGGAAGUCCAUCCACAUAGAAAAGCUAGUAAAUGGGGGUGGAUUCAUAUGGAAACACAGAGCCCAAGACCUCAUGAGUCAGGCUAGACUAGCUCCAGUCUAGUUUCGGCUGGUCGGCACAGUUCCAGAUCCAGCUCCUAUGUAGUUACAUGUAUUUUCCAGCCUAUGCCCUUGUAUCUUAUUCUUUAGGUAACCCUCCUGCAGUAGUUGGGAUUGGUUGGCCGUGAGGGUCAGAAAACUCAAUGUAAAAAUGGCUUGAGAAAGAUAGAAAUUUAUUUCUGCCAACUAAGAGUCCGGAAGAAAGCAGUCCAGACUUCUUGAAAUUGUCAGAGUCACAGAUUUCUCUUCUCAUGAUAGUGUAUUAUCUGUGGCAUGUGGCUUCUACCCCCUGCUGUCCAGGAGGGCUGCUCAGGCUUCAGUUAUCUCAUGUGCAUUCCAGCCCAUUGGAUGGAGGAGGGAGUGAGGAAGGGGACAUUCUGUUCCUUUCAGGGCACUUCCUAGAGGUGGCACACAAAUCCACGUACGGCCCAUGAUCAGAACUUAGUCACACGGUUGUUAUCUAGCAGUGAGGCAGGCAGCCAUGUGAUCAUUCGGGAAACCAGAGAUCUUAUGCUGCAGGAAAAGGGAAGAAUAAAUAUUGGAGGACAAAGGUCUGUCUUUGCCACAUGCACUUGUGUUUGUUCCAACUUUGGUGUGUUUCUGUAUCUUCCCAUUGUUUCUAGAUAGAUCUGGAGCUUAGCAGAGUUGGAUUAUUAUUGACUCCUAACAAUCCCAUGAGAAUGAAGACAGGCUGAGCACUGCUACCAGAAAUUUAGAAGAGCUCACAGUGAAGCAACAUGGAAGAAAUGAAAGAAGUAAGAGCCCAUAACAUAAAGUUUAGGAUACCUGUGGUUUUGUUCAUUGUCCUUCAUUAAACUGACACAUUAAAAACCGACAUUUGAA